UACCUUUGCUAUAUUUAAUAUUUAUAUCACUUAAAUUCCAGUCAAAUAAAUGACAUUUUCCACUCAAAUCUAUAUCCUAGUGAACUCGAUAUUUCCAAAUCUGAACUCACCAACAUAUCUUCCCCUCCUCUUCCUUCCAGUAACUUUUCACAUUUUCCUAGUGUCUACCAGUGUUUUCGAGGGUAUGUUUGGUCAAAAUGUUAAAGCCACUCUCAUUCACUCCAGUCUUUUAGGUUUCUUUCCCUCUAUAUCUGAUCAGUCACUAUGGCUGUAAAGAAGUUUGGGGAAGCAUUUUCUUUUUAUUGGGGGUGGGGUGAAGGAGAAAAAGAUAGCUUUAUUGCUUUGCCAGGCAAAGGGAGCCACAGCAAGCCUUAAAGACUGUGCCCCUGAGGAAGUAUUUCUAAUCUUAGGUACAUCUGCUUUCAUUGUAGCUCUGGGUCUUCAAACCUGGCAAUUUUUUUUUAAUUAUUAUGUCAGCUUCAGAACUGCUUAUUCAAACCGUAAUUACUCAUUUUCCCAACACUCCGAUGCCAUAUUUUCCUACUUCUUGCACUAAGUGAGUGUUCUGCUCAAAGGCUUCUAAUUCCUCUUUUAUUUUUUUUCUAUCAUAUUCAAAGUCAUGGCCUUUUGUGUCCUUCAUAGUCUAAGUACAUGCUAACAAAUGAUCAUAUUUUUUCCCUAUCUUAUAAAAGGUGCAAACUUAUAGAAGCUUUUCCAACUUUACACACAUUCCUUUUGCCUUCUAAUGUGUCAUUUUUCCUGAAUUGCAUCUUUUCUACCUCAGUUGUAAUACAAUUCAUUCUUCAAGACCUAAUUCACAUUUAAAGUCUUCCAUCCUUCUCUGAUUAUUGUACCCCAUUACUAUUCCCUUCCUACUCUGUACUUCUACAGAACUAAUGACUUCAUCGCACAUGCCACACUACCUUUGAAUAUCUAUUUUUUAAAAUUCAGGACGUAAUAUAAACUCCUUGAAGCAGGAAUGUGCCCUAUGUAAGGGUAAUAAUAAUACUACUCUAGUGAUAGUAAUAAUAACAACAGCAAUCAUAACAUUGAGCACAUGUUAUAUAUAUUUUCUACUUUAUAUCUUACAAAACCAAGAGGAGUAGAUGUUAUAAUUAUUAUUCCCAUUUUAUAUAUAAAGAAAUGAGAUACAGAGAAUUUUAGAAAUGUUUACAAGGAAAUAGAACUACUGAAUAGCAUGGGCUGUAUUUAAAAACAUGUUGCGUGUACUCUGUGCCUAUGGUUUUAACUAUGUCCUUAUGUUACUUUCUUCCUAUCAUCCAUGUAUAGAGCUCACAUCUCAAUGCAAGGGACAAUCUCAAAUUGUUUUUGAUAAAAUGAAUCAAAAAUCUUGAAACAAUAUUCAAUGAUUGCCAAGCAACUUUUAUAUCAUUUAGACUGCCUCUCACAAUGAUGAAACACCUUAUAAUCCCUGGGUUUUACUACUAACUUUGUUUCUUCACAUCCCUACUUUUCUCUUCAGCUGCAUGGAUAAUUACCCAGUGGCCCAAAUGCUGUGACAGUGAGGUUUCAUUAAAGCUAAAACCAGUAAAGCUAAAACAUCCUGAGUGCUCAGCAGUGACAGUGUCAGUAAGCAAUUAAUCUCCAACAGUUCACCUACCAUGUACGAACUUCAGAGCUCAAUUCAGCACCUCACAUGACACUACAUCCUAAUUCCCUCCUGGAGUAGAAAGUCUGAAAGGUAAAAAUGGAACAUCAAGAAAAUAGUAAGAAAUAUAUGAUGCAGAUAAAAACAGUUUUUCAUCUGUGCAAAAAUAUGAUACCUUUUUUUUACAGAAAAGAAUAAUUCCUAUCUUGGAACUUUUAAAAUUGGUAAAUUUUCAGCUUGCCUCAUUUUCACCCUCUGCAAAAUAGGUUUAACGGUAUUUGUGCAUUACAGAAAGACAUGGUAGGAUUUAAUUAGAGCUUAUAAAGCAUAGAGGGAGACGCUGUAAUUACUUUGCCACUCACCUUUGUCAUUUAGCUUUCCUCAAGGGGACCAUGCCUUUUAUCAGUUGUAAUGUCAAAGAAAACCACAGAACACCAUGCGAUGUUAUUGUGGAAAAGGAUUUUAUGCAGCCAUAAAUAAGUAGUAACAUAAGGCAAUGCCUGGCAAGAUAAAAUUCCAAGCAUAGAAAUGCUGCAAAAAUAUAACACCAGACUUUGUCACUGUGUCAGCUUUUACCUUUCCCUUACCCUCCUAGAGCCUAAUCCCAAGAGAAUAGUGCCAGAGAGAUCUUUUAAAAUAUAAGACUUCUUACAAAGAAAAAAAAAAAGUGGUGAUGGAUGGGUUAAUUACCUUGAUGGGAAAUCCUUUUCAGUGUAUACAUAUACCAAAUCUUUAAAUAUUUUACAACUGUAUUUGUAAAUGACACCACAAUAGAGCUGAACAGAGAUAAGACUAUAUCUUUAUAUAAGACUAAUAAUGAAAUUUUGCUUCUCAAACUCCCAAUAGACCAUCUCACUGAGAGCAAAAGCCAAAGACCCUACUGAAGGUCACCUAAAGAGAUGUGUGCUCUAAGCCUGCUCUUACUUCUAACCACAAAUGACAUUCUCUCUCAAGUCAAACUGGCUUCCCUACAGGCAAGUGUCCACCUCUCUCGGAAUCUGCACCAGCUCUUUCCCAAUCCUUGAAUGCACUUUAGCCAGAUCUCUGGACGGCUUAAUUCCCUGUCUCUCCUUCAGGUUUUUACACAAAUGAUCCCCUAACAAUGAAGUCUUGUUUGCACACUAUUUACAAUUGUAUCCUGGCCUUUGCAUUUUCUAAUGCUUCUCCCUUCUCAAUUUAUUCCCUAGUCUUUAUCACCAUAUGCCAGACUAUAGAUUUCAAUUAUUUGUUUAUUGUCUAUUUCUCCCUACUAGGUUACAAGCUCCAUGAGCAUAGGGAUAUUGAGUCAUUUUGUUUACUGAUUUAUUCCCAGUACCUAGAAAACUGCCUGUCACAAACUUGGUUUACUGAGAUAAACAUUUAUUGAAUGAAUAAAUGAAAUGGAAAAGUUUCAGAUCUCAGAAUGUUAAUGAGGUCGCAUGAAACAUAGUCAAUCAGGGAUUCUCAACAGAAGGAAAAAUGUCCAAGUGAUUUUACAGAUAAAAUCCUUAUUUUCCGUAUAUUAUUUGUUGCUAUAUUAAAAAUCAGAGAGGUGGAGCAAGAUGGCAGAGGAGUAAGAGGUCGUGCUCACCCUCUCCCAAAAACACAUCAAAAAAACACAUCUACUUGUAAAACGACUUGCACAGAACAUCAACUGGAUGCUGGCAGAAGAACUUAAACCUCCAAAAAGGGCAAGAAACUUUUGACAUAACUGGGUAGAACAAAAGAAAAAAAAGAGAGAGAGAAAAGGAAUCAGGACAGAGUAGCAUUCCAGACAGGGAGCUCUGAAGAAAAGGAACCCAUGUUCUGGGAAGCCACCUAUGAGGGAAAGAUCAGCCGAGUCAUGGGACCUGAAAGUCACCAAGAAAAGCACAGCAGCUGGAGUGAGAAUAGCAAAGCAGAGUGAGAGCCACACAGAUCAUCUGAACCACCGGCCUGAACAGCACAGCCUGAGAUGCUCGGGUGGGGGCUGGGUGCUGAGACUCAGGUUCCAAAGGUAGCCCUGGGGAGAGGACUGGGGCUGGCUGUGUGGGGACAGCCCAAGGGGGUAAGGAGCAGUGAGCUACAGGCUAGGGAGCAGUAGCCAUGGGAUGAGUUGGGGAACACCAUGGCAGAGGGAGGCCAGGAGAAGGUCCGGACCUGCAGAGAGGCAAGGUGCCAUUGUUGGGGAGAGUGAGAGGAGGAGGGGUGGACUGCCAUAGGAAACUCCCCUGCACCAAACCUGCACAUGCCCCUGGGCUUAGAGGGUGGGUGGCUCUGCGCAGGGAACAGGCAGGUGGUGAGAAGCCUCUUGCUUGUUUAGGGGAGAUUGGGCACUCCUUGUGCAGGCUACCAGUGGCCAGGACCUCUUGUUCUGGCAAAGGCAUCAGGGGGCUACGUGCAAUAUGAUGGCUCUUGCAUGAUCUACAGGUCGCAGGGACAGACUGCUGCAGUCAUCUCAGAGGUCAGAAGGAGGCAUGGCUUGCCACCACUGGGGGCCUGUGAGUGGGCUCCACCUGCAACCCCAGUCACCUCAGCAGUUGGCAAAAAAGAAUAAAAGAGGGCACUGCAAUCAAGCACCAUACACUGCUACUCUCACUCCUCUGGGAGCACACCCACCCUGCAGCUGCCUCUGUCAAACACACUGGGUGGCAACCAGACACUUGGUCACUGUCCCUUCCCAAGACCCUACAACUAGAAGCAGCUAGUGUAGCACUUCCUACCUGGGCUAAGUGGGACAGGGUGCUUCUUGCGUGGUCUGAAGUUAUCCCUGAUUCCAGAGGUGGGCAUGGCCCACCACCACUGGGGAUACCUGAACAAAAAUCACUUGCAGCCCCAACCAUCUCAGAGGGCACCGCAGAGAAGGACAUUGCAAUGGAACACAACCUGUUGUUGCACUCUCUCCUCUGGGAGCACACCUGCCCUGCUGCUGCCCAUGCCAAACACUCUGGGCAGUGGCCAGACACUUGAUCACUGUCCAUUCCCAGGAACCCACAACUAGGAGCAGUUUGUGCAGCACCUCCUGUGGCGGCUAAGUGAGACAGGUUGCUUCAUGAAGGGUCUACAGGUGGUGGGGGCAAACCACCACAGUUAUCGCUGACUCUAGAGGCCCGCUCCCACUAGGGGUCCCUGAACAGGCACCACCUGUGGUUCCAUUUACCUCAGAGGAGGGCAUUGCAAUCAAACACAAGCUGUUGUUAAUCUCACUCCCUUGGGAACUCACUCACCCUGCUGUUGCUACUGCCAAAUGCUCUGGUCACCUUGAUGAUCUGCCUAGAGCUAAUUACCACUUCCCAGGAUCCUGCAACUAGGAGGAGCCUGUGCCACCUUCCUGAAGGUCCUUGCUGCAGUUGAGAGCCCAAUGAUCAGGCACUGACUGCUGGCCCUACCCAUCGCCUCCUUCUCCCUGAAAACACACUGAGCAUCCUGGGAAUAAGAGCCUGCUCACACCAAGGAAAGAGACAGCAAAUAUUCAAACUCCCACAC
Molecule: long non-coding RNA, 5053 nt
Filed under: Sus scrofa (pig)
Lineage: Eukaryota; Metazoa; Chordata; Mammalia; Artiodactyla; Suidae
Description: lncRNA (ENSSSCG00000052400.1)
Source: RNAcentral